CUGACCAUGUUCAUGUAGGUGGUUUUCCCAGGGUGAGGCUCAGCCAUUGCACUCUGGCUGUGCUGACCCCUGUGAUUUCUCCAAAUGUGGGAAACUCUACUG
Molecule: small nuclear RNA, 102 nt
Filed under: Ornithorhynchus anatinus (platypus)
Lineage: Eukaryota; Metazoa; Chordata; Mammalia; Monotremata; Ornithorhynchidae
Description: U1 spliceosomal RNA (ENSOANG00000027298.2)
Rfam family: U1 spliceosomal RNA
About the family: U1 is a small nuclear RNA (snRNA) component of the spliceosome (involved in pre-mRNA splicing). Its 5' end forms complementary base pairs with the 5' splice junction, thus defining the 5' donor site of an intron.
Source: RNAcentral